This is a non-coding RNA of Callithrix jacchus (white-tufted-ear marmoset), 12909 nucleotides long. NCBI's taxonomy places the organism in Eukaryota, Metazoa, Chordata, Mammalia, Primates, Cebidae. The record is from RefSeq and is a predicted model, not a curated record.
CCUCUUACCCGGUCGGCCAUCUUGGCCGUGUCACGUGACCCAGCGGGCGAGCGGGCGCGGCUGGGCACCGCCUUUCUCUUUGGUUUGCCGGAUUCGACUUCCUCACUGCCAAGCCUUCCUUCCGCUUCAAGAGUUGUCAGAGUGGACAUUUGGCCAUACCUAACUUCAAGCGUGUGGGGAACUGCGGUCCCACCAUGUACCUAGAAGAAGAACCAGACCUGGAGGUGACCAAGGCUCAUGACUUCCACCUAGGCUGGAGUGCAAUGGCGCAAUCUCGGCUCUCCGCAACCUCCGCCUCCUGGGAUCAGGCAAUUCUCCUGCCUCAGCCUCCUGAGUAGCUGGGAUUACAGGCAUGCACCAACAUGCCCAGCUAAUUUUUUGUAUUUUUAGUAGAGACGGGGUUUCACCAUGUUGACCAGGAUGGUCUCGAUCUCUUGACCUCGUGAACCACCGUGCCUGGCCUAUGUUUUAAAAUUAUACCAUGUUGAGGGUGAUGACUGGCAUAUAGACUAUGAUGGUUUUUAUUUUGUAUGCUGAAGUAUUUUGAUAGGACCAGAAAUGUUACAGAAAUAAAGAUCUUAAAUAAAAUAUAAUAAGUUGAUAUAUAUGUAUACUAUUUGAUUCUAUUGGCUAUAUUUUGUUUUACAUCAGUGAUCAUAAGUAAAAUAUGGUUUUAUAAUUUAAUUAAUUAAUUAAUUUUUGUUUUUGAGAUGGAGUCUCGCUCUGUGGCCCAGGCUGGAGUGCGGUGGCGAGAUCUGGGCUCACUGCAACCCCUGCCUCCUGGGUUCAAGCGAUUCUCCUGCCUCAGCCUCCCGAGUAGCUGGAAUUACAGGUGCGUGCCCCCAUGCCCAGCUAAUUAUUUAAUUUGUAGUAGAGACGGGGUUUCACCAUGUUGGUGAGAAUGGUCUCAGUCUCCUGACCUAGGGGUCCGCCCACCUCAGCCUCCCAAAGUGCUAGGAUUACAGGCGUGAGCCACCGCACCCACCCUAUAAUUUUAUUUUUUGUGUUCAUCUUAUCUGAUUUGAGAAUUUAAAAUUCUAGUUACAUAAGAUGAAUUGGAUAAUUUUUAUACUUUUUCUAUUUUUUUGUACAGCGCACUAUCCAGUAGAAAUAUAAUGUAAAACACAUGCAAUUUAAUGUUUGUAGUAGCGACUUUAAAAAGCAAAAAGAAGUAUGUGAAAUGAAUAAUUCAAUAUAUCCAAAGUAGUGUCGUUUAAAUAUGUUAUCAACAUAAACAUGAAUGAAAUAUCUCACCUUCUAUUUUUGCACUAAGUUUUUGAAAUCUGGUAUUUUAUAUUGAUAUUAUUUCUGAAUUCAGACACUAAAUUUUCAUAAAUACGUGGUUUGUAUUUAGGUUUUAUAAAAUUUACACUUCAAAAAGUAGAUUCACAUACGCGAAUCGUUUCAAACAUACCUGAAAGUUUUCUAAUAGGAUCUCUCCGCCCAAGCGUCUCGCCCCGCUCUCGCCCUGCGGACUCCGCCCUGACAGCAGCCUGCGAAGCACUGUCGUCCCGGGAAAGGGCACCUCCGACGGAAGCGCAGAGUCCCCGGGAGGCGCCGGAAGCCGGAGGAGGGCGGGAAGGCGCCGGAAGCCGGAGGAGGGCGGGGGGGAGGGGCCGAGGAAGGCGAGGGAGGUGAGGGGGGAUAAGGAGAGGCGAGUGGGCGAGUGGGGCCGAAUGGGUCGAGCGGCAGAGUCGCCAGCAGCGUGAGAGCGUCGCUCCUCCUGAAGGCCCUCAGGCGAAAUGACCAGCGCUGACAAAGAGCAGGAUGCAGAGGGCUCCUCUGGAGUGACUUUGGAGAGGAGAUUACCCUUGGGAAGCUCCAGUUCGGAUCCGCGUCCACAGACCCGGCGACCUCACACAGACUGGGCGUCCGGGGAGGAGGUGGUGGCUGUGAGCAACAUAGUGAGGAAACCCGGCUCCUGCUACCCCCAGGUCUUUAGCCGGGACCCCAGGGCAUCUGGGAGCAGGCCUGCGGCAGGGACCAGCAUACUCUGGACGGGGCCUCUGCCUUUCUGGGGUCCUCCAGUUGAAGAAGGAUGCGAUGUGCAAUAAACCCACCCUGUUGACCUCAAAAGCAGCGGGGAGCCCCAGGCACAUGAGUGGGGAGGGGGACUUUGACCUGGCUCCCGUGCAUCUACCCACCUGCGUGAAUUGCCAGGUGCAGGACGAGCUUGAGUGGACGCUGGGUUCUCAGAGCCCCUUGAGGCUCCUGUACGUGGGCUACCUGUGCCGCCUCGGGCAACCCAGAGAAACCCUUCCUCCUGCCAGAUAUUAGAAGGAAAAACAUUCCAUGCUCAUGGUUAAGAAGAACCAGUAUCAUGAAAAUGGCAAUACUGCCCAAAGUAAUUUAUAGAUUCAGUGCUAUCCCCAUAAAGCUACCAUUGACCUUCAUCACAGAACUGGAAAAAAACCACCUUAAACUUUAUGUGGAACCAAGAAAGAGCCCGCAUAGCCAAGACAAUCCUAAGCAAAAAGAACAAAACUGAAAGCAUCACACUACCUGACUUCAAACUAUACUACAAUGCUGCAGUAAUAAAAACAGCAUGGUACUGGUACCAAAACAGAAGUAUAGACCAAUGGAACAGAACAGAGGCCUCGGAAGUGACACCACACAUCUACAACCAUCUGAUCUUUGACAAACCUGACAAAAACAAGCAAUGGGAAAGGAUUCCCUGUUUAAUAAAUGGUUUUGGGAAAACUGCCUAGCCAUAUGCAGAAAGCUGAAACUGGACCCCUUCCUUAUACCUUAUGCAAAAAUUAAGUCCAGAUGGAUUAAAGAUUUAAACAUAAGACCUAACACCAUAAAAACCCUAGAAGAAAACCUAGCAAUACCAUUCAGGACAUAGGCAUAGGCAAGGACUUCAUAACUAAAACACCAAAAGCAAUGGCAACAAAAGCCAAAAUAGACAAAUGGGAUCUAAGUAAACUUAAGAACUUCUGCACAGCAAAAGAAACAAGCAUUAGAGUGAACCAGCAAUCAAUAGAAUGGGAAAACAUUUUUGCAAGCUACCCAUCUGACAAAGUGCUAAUAUCCAUGUUAUUCUAGCCUCUUGUUCUGAAGAAACAUGAAUUUCAUGUACAAACAUGGAUUUUGCAUGUUUUAAAUUGUAAAUGAGGCUUAAUCCAAGAAACUUGGAACGUGAAGCAGCCUCGAAUUUAGUCAUGCCCCACCAUCCUCCAGGGUAAGCUGAGGAGCAGAGUUAAUUGGUUUUCCACAGGUAUUUGCCACUUGUCAGAUGGGCUGUUCUGGAUGUAACCACGUAAUUCCUGGGACCCACUGAGAGUCAGCUUCCUUUACAGGCAUCUAACAAGGUGUGCUCAGAGCCAAACACCUUGAAGAUCUUCAUGGAAACAAUUUUUGGCCUUUUAUCAAGAUGUCAUUCAGGGCUCUGAGCUGUCAAACACGUUGAAUUGAGCUGUUAGGUGGAUGGGUUUGAUGUAAGUUUACGGUAUGCAUUUGGUACUUGUCAAUAGAGCAAGUCAUGAUAUUGCAAAAGUAAAGAAAACCUUCUUUAAAAAAGACAAGUGGCUGGGUGUGGUGGCUUACACCUGUAAUCCCAGCACUUUGGGAAGCUAAGGCGGGUGGAUCAUGAGGUGAGGAGUUCAAGACCAGCCUGGCCAGCAUGGUAAAACCCUGUCUCUACUAAAAAUACAAAAAUUAGCCAGGCAUGGUGGCAUGCGCCUGUAGUCCCAGCUACUUUGGAGGCUGAGGCAAGGGAUUUGCUUGAACCCAGGAGGCAGAGGUUGCCGUGAGCCGAGAUCCUACCACUGCACUCCAGCCUGGGUGACAGGGCAAGACUCCAUGUCACAAAACAAAACAAAACGAAAGAAAAAAAAAGAAAAGCAGGGCCGGGCACAGUGGCUCACGCCUAUAAUCCCAGCACUUUGGGAGGCCGAGGUGGGUGGAUCACGAGGUCAAGAGAUCAAGACCCUCCUGGUCAACAAGGUGAAACCCCGUCUCUACUAAAACUACAAAAAUUAGCUGGGUAUGGUGGUGCGCACCUGUAGUCCCAGCUACUCGGGAGGCUGAGGCAGGAGAAUUGCUUGAACCCAGGAGGUGGAGGUUGCGGUGAGCCGAGAUCAUGCUAUUGCACUCCAGCCUGGGUAACAGUGAAUCUCGGUCUCAAAAAAAAGAAAGAAAAAAAAGCAGUAUGAGCUCAAACAGUAUCCACCAGUGACACUUUUAAAAGUUCAUGGCUCAAAUCUUCCUCACCUGUUGCCUCUCUCAUCCCCAGUAUUCUUCAUUCCUCAGAAUGAGCCUCCCUGGGGCCUCUGAGGCUCCCUCACAACCGGGCUCAGUUAUCUCCCCUGGCUGGAAGAACACAGAAACUGUGUCGCACUCUGCUUGGUGCCUCCCUCCAGGGCCCAUAUUUGUUACCUGUCCCAGCCCCGGUGAUGUCAUCAUUCAUGGCCUGGUGGGGUGGCAUCUGCCAGACCCAUCCACCUUCAAUUUACAAGGGGGACUUUACUCUGAAUAGAAUUUUGUGGGGAGAUAGUGUAACACAAUGUGUAUUAGCUCUUUCUUAUCUAACUAGCUGGUCAGUUCCUAUCUGUGUCUAUUCAUCUAUCUACCAUCUAUCUAUCUAUCUAUCUUCAUAUAAAAAAAAAAUUCCUCAAUCAGUACAUUAUUCAAUGAGCUGCAUUUUGUUACAAUCAUUUAUUUUCAUGCUUCUUAGCCAGAUUUGGGAGGUGGAGACUUCUAAAGCACUCUCUCUCUCUCUCUCUCUCUCUCUCUCUCUCUCUCUCUCUCUCUCCCUCUCUUUUAAGAUGGAGUUUCACUCUUGUUGCCCAGGUUGGAGUGCAAUGAUGUGAUCCUGCCUCACUAUAACCUCUGCCUACUGGGUUCAAGCAAUUCUCCUGCCUCAGCCUCCUGAGUAGCUGGGAUUACAGGUGUGCGCCACCAUGCCCAGCUAAUUUUUGUAUUUUUAGUAGAGACAGGGUUUCACCAAGUUAGUCAGGCUGGUCUUGAACUCCUAACAUCAGGUGAUCCACCCACCUCAACCUCCCAAAGUGCUGGGAUUACAGGUGUGAGCCAUCAUGCUCGGCCAGCUCUCAUAUUUUUACGCAAGGCAUUCUAGGCUCCUCCUUCACCAUUCCAGGUGCGAUGUUGUUAGCAGCAACUUCAUCGAGAUAUGUGAUUCCUUCUCCCAGAGUGUGCUAUGAAGAAUUUGAGAUCCAGUAUUACCUGUGGUCAUUUCAUCUGACUUGAGGACAAUAAACCCCACCCACUGAGGGCCUCUUUUCCAAAAGAGGGAAGCUUUGGAGACAGAAGCCAUGCCCACUUUCCAAAUACAAGGGCUUCUCAAGACAGGUCAAGCAGACAGGAUGUUGGCUUGGUUCUUAAACUGCUCAGCUGCACCACAUUCUGGGGACCAUGGCAAGAAUCUCCCCUUGGCAGUGCAUUCUUUGGGUCAACAUCCCUCCUUCCCAGUGCCAGAUUCAGCACCGCCUGCAUGUGAAGCUACAUAAGCCAGGAGCUCCAGGUCCUGCCACCUGGUGGCAUCAGCGACAGAGCUGAAGUUCCUACUUUCCUCCUGCCUCUAUGUGGCCUAAAUUUCACCAACACUACUGAAAAUGCAACUAUGAAGUACUUAGUGACAGAUCACAGUUUGCAGAAUUUUCAUAGGAUUGUGUCAGGCAGGAACUCUGUGUCAGUUCUGGGAUUUUCUGGAACUUAGAGUCCUGAAAAUCAAGAGUUUGGGCAGCAUAAGGUUCCUACAAGUUUCAAACUCCAUCGAUGAUUCCGAAGGAAAGCUUAUAUCGAGUUCCUAAUAUCUGUAACACAAGGAAAUGACUUUGAAAAAGUCUUCAUGAGCACCAAAAAAAUGCUGUCAUCAAGAGUAAUCAGCUGUGUGAUAGGAACACUGGAUGGAUGCAGCACUGUGGAAAGCCAGAAAGACAAUGAAGGGCAAAUGAAGUGCCUGGCUGGUCAAACACUACCCUAGGCAGACUCCACUGUCCAUAGACUCUGAAGCACUGCCAAUGGCCAAGAUGAGCACAGACAGAGGAAAGAGAACAAAUCAUUCUCAUGCUUGUGGUCGCAGCACACGCCUUCCACUUUCAGAAUGUGCUCAUGCAUUUUUCCUUUUCUUUGUUACAUACAAGUUCAUCCUGGCAUUUGUAUGUGGUUCAGCCUCUAACAUUUAGUUAACCACACAAGUAGUAAGAGCCAUUCAAAAUAUUUAUUUUAUUCAUACACUCAGUAAUAUACAGUAUAAGUCACAACAAACAAGUAAGCUAAAAUACAAUUUGAAAUUUAAGUCAGAGGUCUCUCUCAUUUUUUUUUCUGUGACGGAGUUCUUUCUUGUUUCCCAGCCUGGAGGGCAAUGGUGCGAUCUUGACUCACUGCAACAUGCACCUCACAGGUUCAAGUGAUUCUCCUGCCUCAGCCUCCCAAGUAGCUGAAAUUACAGACGUGCACCACCAUACCCGGCUAAUUUUGCAUUUUUAGUAGAUACGGGGUGUCAUCAUGUUGGUCAGGCUGAUCUCGAACUCUUGACCUCAAGUGAUCCACUCACUUAGGCCUCCCAAAGUGCUGGAAUUACAAGGCAUGAGCCACUGCACUCAGCCUAUCAAAUGAUUAAAAAUCAGUUUAUUACAGUAUUUAAUAUUAAAAAUGUAAUAUUUAAAAAAGUAGUAGAGGCCCGGCAUGGUGGCCCAUGCCUGUAAUCCCAGCACUUUGGGAGGCUGAAGUGUGUGGAUCACAAGGUCACAUGUUCAAGACCAGCCUGACCAACAUUGUGAAACCCCACCUCUACUAAAAAUAAAAAAUUAGUUGGGUGUGGUGGCACCUGCCUGUAAUCCCAGCUACUAAGGUGGCUGAGGCAGGAAAAUCACUUGAAACUGGGAGGUGGAGGUUGUAGUAAGCCGAGACUGUGCCACUGUAUUCCGGCCUGGUGACAGAGCGAGACUCCAUCUCAAAAAAAAAAAGUAGCUAGAGACUAUAAUAUUACAACUUAUGACAGACUAAAAAAUCCAUUUUAUUGUCCAUGACACUUUAUAAUAAGAAAUUUCAUUAACUAUAAGAACACAUUUUUUCUAUAGAUUUAUAUUUCCUUCCCAGAUUUUCUUAUAUGAAUUGCUAUUUUGGAUAUUUUACAGUAGAGGUAAAUGAGCCGGAUGUGGUGGCUCACGCCUGUAGUCAGCACUUGGGGAGGCUGAGGUGGGCGGAUCACGAGGUCAGGAGUUCAAGACCAGCCUGGCCAACAUGGUGAAACGGUGUCUCUACUAAAAAUACAAAAAAUUAGCUAGGCAUUGUGCAUGCCUGUAAUUCCAGCUACUUAGGAUUCUGAGGCAGGAGAAUUAAUUGAACGCGGGAGGUGGAGGUUGCAUCGAGCUGAGAUUGCACCACUGCACUCCAAUAUGGGUGACAAAGUGAGACUCUUUCUCAGAAAAAAAUAUAUUAACAGUAAAUAAAAUAAUAAUACUUAAUUACAAUUUGUUGGAUCUACUAAAAGAACUAGAGAAGCAAGAGCGAACAAAUCCCAAAGCUAGCAGAAGAUAAGAAAUAACCAAAAUCAGAGCUGAACUGAAGGAGACAGAGACACAUUACAAAAAAACAUUCAAAAGAUCAACGAAUCCAGGAUCUGUUUUUUGAAGAAAAAAAAAAUACAUAGACUUCUAGCUAGACUAAUAAAGAAAAAAGAGAAGACUCAAAUAUUAACACAAUCAAAAACAGUAAGGAGAAAAUUACCACAGACCCCACAGAAAUACAGACAACAAUCAGAGAAUAUUAUAAACACUGUAUGCACAUAAACUAGAAAAUCUAGAAGAAAUGAAUAAAUUCCUGGAAACAUACACUAUCCCAAGACUGAACCGGGAAGAAAUUGAAUCCCUGAAUGGACCAAGAACAAGUUCUGAAAUUAAGGCAGUAGUAAACAGCCUUACUAACAAAAAAAAGAAGCUCGGAAUCAGAUAGAUUCACAGCUGAAUUCUAUCAGAUAUAGAAAGAAGAGCUGGUACCAUUCCUGAUGAACUAUUUCAAAAAAUUGAAAAGGAGAGAUUCCUUCCUAACUCAUCCUAUGAGGCCAGCAUCAUCCUGAUACCAAAACCUGGCAGAGACACAACAGAAAAAGAAAACUUUGGGCCAAUAUCCUUGAUGCAAGAAUCCUCAACAAAAUACUAGCACAUCUAAUCCAGCAACACAUCAAAAAGCUCACCGAUCAUGAUCAAGCAGGCUUAUUUUCUGGGAUGCAAAAUUGGUUCAACAUCUACAAAUCAAUAAAUGUGAUUUAUCACAUAAACAGAACUAAAGACAAAAACCACAUGAUUAUCUCAAUAGAGGCAGAAGAGACUUUUGAUAAAAUUCAACAUUUUUUCAAGUUAAAAGCACUCAAUAAACUGAUAUUGAAAGAACAUGCCUCAAAAUAAUAAGAGGCUUAUAUGUAUGACAAACCCACAGCCAACAUCAUACUGAAUGGGCAAAUUCUGGAAGCAUUCCCCUUGAAAACUGGCACAUGACAAGGAUGCCCUCUCUCACCACUUCUAUUCAACAUAGUAUGGGAAUUUCUGGCCAGAGCAAUCAGGUAAGAGAAAGAAAUAAAGGGCAUCCAAAUAGGAAGAGAGGAAGUCAAACUAUCCCAGUUUGCAGAUGACAUGAUUCUAUAUCUAGAAACCCCAUCAUUUCAGCCCAAAAGUUUCUUAAGCUGAUGAGUAACUUCGGCAAAGUGUCAGGAUACAAAAUCAAUGUGUAAAAAUUGCUGGCAUUCCUAUACGCCAACAACAGUCAAAGUGAGAGCCAAAUCAUGAAUGAACUCCCAUUCACGAUUGCCACAACAUGAUGAAAAUACCUAGGAAUAUAGCUAACUAGGGAGGUGAAAGAUCACAAGGAAAACUAUAAGUCACUGCUCAAAGAAAUCAGAGAAGACAUAAACAAAUGGAAAAACAUUCCAUGCUCAUGAAUAGGAAGAGUCAAUAUCAUAAAAAUGACCACACUCCCCAAAACAAUGUAUCGAUUCAAUGCUAUUCUCAUUAAACUAUCACUGACAUUCUUCACAGAAUUAGAGAAUACUACUUUAAAAUUCAUAUGGAACCCAAAAAUACCCCAAAUAGCCAAGGCAGUCCCAAGCCAAACCAACAAAGCUGGAGGCAUCAUGUUACCUAACUUCAAACUGUACUACACUGCUGCAGUAACCAAAACAGUGUGGUACUGCACAAGAGUGGAAGCAUAGACCAAUGGAACAGAAUAGACCAAGAUCAGAUAGCAAAGACUACACACCUACAGCUAUCUGAUCUUCAACAAACACGAUAAAAACAACUAAUGCGUAAAGGAUUCUCUAUUCAGUAAAUGAUGCUUGGAUAACUAGCUAGCCAUGAGCAGAAGAUUGAAACUCAACCCCUUCCUUACACCAUAUACAAAAAUUAACUCAGAAUUGAUUAGAGACUUAAAUGGAAAAAAACCAAAACUAUAAAAACCCUGGAAGACAACUUAGGAAAUAUCAUUCAGGACGUGGCCUGGGCAAAGAUUUUAUGAUGAAGAUGUCAAAAGCAAUUGCAACUAAAGCAAAAAUUCACAAAUGGGAUAUAACUAAAGAGUUUUGGAUAGCAAAAGAAACUACCAACAGAGUAAUCAACCUACAGAAUGGGAGAAAAAUUUGCAAAUUGUGUAUCUGACAAAGGUCUAAUAUCCAGCAUCUAUAAGAAACUUAAACAAAUGUACAAAAAAAGCAAAUAACCCCAUUAAAAAGUGGGCAAAGGACAUGCAGAGAUACUUUUCAAAAGAAGACAUACAUGUAGCCAACAAUCAUAUGGAAACAAUUUUAACAUCACUGAUCAUUAGAGAAAUGCAAAUCAAAACCACAAUAAGAGACUGUAAAUUAAUUCAACCAUCAUGGAAGACAGUGUGGUAAUUCCUCAAAGACCUAAAGCCAGAACUACCAUUUUAUCCAGCAAUCUCAUUACUGGGUAUAUACCCAAAGGAAUAUAAAUCAUUCUGUUAUAAAGGCACAUGCAUGCAUAUGUUCAUUGCAGCACUAUCCAUGAUAACAAAGAUUUGGAAUCACUCUAAAUGUCCAUAUAUGAUAGGCUGGAUAAAGCAAAUGUGGUACGUAUACAUUAUGGAAUACUAUGCAGCCAUAAAAAGAAGAGUAUCAUGUCCUUUGCAGGGGACACGGAUGGAGAUGGAGGCCGUUAUUCUUAGCAAAUUAAUACUGGUACAAAAAACCAAACACUGUGUGUUCUCAUUCAUAAGCGAGAGCUAAAUGUGGGUAAAUGUGAAGAUAUGAGAUUCACUGACAAUGCUGAAAAAUGAAAGGCAUCACCAAAAGUGUGCAGAUGUAGCUAUCCUUGAGUCAGACAAAAUAGACUUUAAGUCAAAAAACACAAAAAGAAACAAUAAAGAUUAUAAAAUAAUUAAGAGAUCAAUUCUGGAAGAAGACAGAAUAUUAAAUACAUAUGCACUCAACUCAUGAACAUCAGUUAUCAAAGUAAAUAUGAUUAAAGCUAACGAUAAACCCAAAGGCAAUCACAGCUGGGGGCUUUAACACCCAGUUUCAGCACUGGAAACUCCUCUAGGCAGAACGUCAACCAAGAAGUUUCAGACUUAAACUGCAACAUAGACCAAAUGGAUCCGACAGAUAAUUACAAAACAUUUCAUUCAACAACUGAAAAAUUUACAUUUUUCUCAUCAGUACAUGAAACAUUCUCCAGGAUAGACCACACUAAACAAAUCUCAAAAAGCAUUUUUAAGGGCUGGGUGCAGUGGCCCAUGCCUAUAAUCCCAGCACUUUAGGAGGCCGAGGCGGGUGGAUCACGAGGUCAAGAGAUUGAGACCAUCCUGGUCAACAUGGUGAAAUCCCAUCUCUACUAAAAAUACAAAAAAAAAAAAAAAAAAUUAGCUGGGCAUGGUGGCGUGCGCCUGUAGUCCCAGCUACUCAGGAGGCUGAGGCAGGAGAAUUGCUUGAACACAGGAGGCGGAGGUUGCGGUGAGCUGAGAUCGCAGCAUUGCACUCCAGCCUGGGUAGCAAGAGUGAAACUCCACCUCAGAAAAAAAAAAAUGUGUUUUUAAAAUGGAAAUCAUAUUGACUAUUCUUUCAGAUGAAAAUGUCAUACAACUGAAAAUCAAUAACCAUAAGAACUAUGGAAACUGUACGAAUACAUGAUAUUUAAAUAACAUGCUCCUGAAUAACCAUUGGGUCAGUGAAUAAAUGAAAAAGGAAAGCAAGGCAUUUCCUGAAACAAAUGAAACUGGAAACACAAUGUAAAGAGAACUUAGGGGAUACAGCAAAAGCAGUACUCAGAGGGAAGUUUUGUAGCAAUAAGUGCCUACAUCAAAAAAGUAGUAAGAUGGCCGGGUGCAGUGGCUCAUGCCUGUAAUCCCAGCACUUUGAGAGGCCAAGGUGGGUUGAUCACUUGAGGUCAGGAGUUCAAGACCAGGGCCUGGCCAACAUGGUGAAACCCCAUGUCUAAUAAUAUAAAAAGUAGCCAGGUGUGGUGGCGUGCACCUGUAAUCCCAGCCACCAGGAGGCUAAAUCACGAGAAUUGCCUGAAGCCAGAAGGUAGAGAUUGCAGUGAGCCAAAAUCACACCAUUGCACUCCAGCCUGGGCAACAAAGUGAAACCAUGUCACCAGAAAAAAAAAAAAACGUAAAAAGAUUUCAAUUGAACAACCUCACAGUGCACCUCAAAGAAUAUGAAAAGCACACACACACCCCAAAAUUUGAAGAAGGAAAGAAACAAGAUCAGAGUAGAUCCAAACAAAAGAAAGGCUAAAAAGGACAACAAAAGAUCAAUGAACAAGUUGUUUUUUUAAAAAAAGAUUAAAAACUUGAGAAAUGAUUAGCUAGACUAACAAAAUAAGAGAAGGACCCCCCCCCCCCGCCGCUCCCUGCCCCGCUGCCAAAUAAAACCAGAAACAAAAAAGCAGACAUUACUACUGAUAACCCAGAAAUACAAAAGCUCAUGAGAGACUCUUAUGAACAACUCUAUGCCAGCACCUGGAGAAACCUGCAGGAAACGGACAGAUUCCUGGGUAAACAGAACCUACCAAGAUCUAACCAGGAAGAAGCAGAAAAUCUGAACAGGACAAUAACGAGCAACAAGAUUGAGUCUGUAAUAAAAUCUCCCAACAAAGAAAGCUCAGCACUGUAUGCCCUUACUGCUGAAUGCUAUCAAACUUUUAAAGAAGAACUAACAUCAGUUCUUCUCCAAGGAUCCCAAAAAAACGAAGAGGAGGAAAUUCUUCUUAUGCAUUUCAUGAGGUAAGCAUUACCCUGAUACCAAAACCAGACAAGGACACAACAAAAAUAGAUAUUUCUGAUGAACAAGGUGCAAAAAUCAACAAACUACUGCCAAACUGACCUCAAGAACACAUCAGAAAGAUAAUUGUGCAUGAUUGAGUGGGAUUCAUCCCAGGUAUGCAAGGAUGAUUCGACACACAUCAUUCAAUACAACACACCACACCACACCACAUCAGUAGGACGAAGGACAAAAUCCAUUCAAUCAGCUCCACAGAUGAAUACAAAGCAUUUGAUAAAAUUCAAUAGAACUUCAGCAUACAACCCCCAAGAAACUGUGUAUGGAAGAAACAUACUUCAAAACUAUAAACACCAAACAAUCUCUGACAAACCCAGAACUAAUAUCAUACUGAACAGUAAGGAGUUCAAAGCCUUUCCUCUAAGAUUGAGAACAAGACAAAGACAACCACUUUUAUUCACUAUAAGUCUUAGCAAGAGGAAUUUGACAAGAGAAAGAAAUAAUAGGUGUCCACAUUGGAAAGGAAGAAGCUAAAUUGUCCUUGUUUGCAGAUGACAGGAUCUCACAUUUAGAGAAACCUAGAGUCCACCAAAAACUGUUGAAACUGACAAGCAAAUUCAGUCAAGUUACAGGAUCCAAAAUCAACACACAAAAACAAGUAGUGUUACUGUACAAAAAUAGUGAACAUUCUUAAAAAAGAAAAAAAAAAAAAACAA